CAGUUGGUGAAAGUCCAACUACGGUAAUUACCAGUAAGCCGUAUAGUCAAACUCGGUGUGUUGUAGUAAUACAGGGUGCUAAGCGAGUGGGUUAUGUGCUCUCGACAAGAGGAGCGAGCAAUCAUGCAGACCGUAACAUUA
Non-coding RNA from Dorea sp. 42_8, 141 nucleotides. The record is from Rfam. Lineage: Bacteria; Bacillati; Bacillota; Clostridia; Lachnospirales; Lachnospiraceae.